GACAGAGGAGCCAAGCGUUGUCCGGAUUGACUGGGCGUAAAGCGCACGCAGGCGGUCGCGCACGUGGGGUGUGAAAACUGGCGGCUUAACUGCCAGAGGCCACCUCAUACGGCGCGACUCGAGCCCUGCAGAGGUCCAUGGAAUUGCCGGUGUAGUGGUGAAAUGCGUAGAGAUCGGCAGGAACACCCAGGGGGAAACCAGUGGACUGGGCAGGAGCUGACGCUCAGGUGCGAAAGCGUGGGGAGCGAACAGG
Molecule: ribosomal RNA, 253 nt
Filed under: uncultured bacterium
Lineage: Bacteria
Description: partial 16S ribosomal RNA
Rfam family: Bacterial small subunit ribosomal RNA
Source: RNAcentral